GACGAACGCUGGCGGCGUGCUUAACACAUGCAAGUCGAGCGAGGACCGCACUCUUUUGGGUGUGGAGCCGAGCGGCGAACGGGUGAGUAACACGUGAGCAACCUGCCCCUGGCUCUGGGAUAGCCCUGGGAAACCGGGAUUAAUACCGGAUAUGACCGCUGCUCGCAUGGGUGGUGGUGGUGGAAAGGUUCCCCCUUGUGGGGUUCCGGCCGGGGAUGGGCUCGCGGCCUAUCAGCUUGUUGGUGGGGUGACGGCCUACCAAGGCGAUGACGGGUAGCCGGCCUGAGAGGGUGGUCGGCCACACUGGGACUGAGACACGGCCCAGACUCCUACGGGAGGCAGCAGUGGGGAAUAUUGCGCAAUGGGCGGAAGCCUGACGCAGCGACGCCGCGUGGGGGAUGAAGGCCUUCGGGUUGUAAACCUCUUUCAGCAGGGACGAAGUUGACGUGUACCUGCAGAAGAAGCGCCGGCCAACUAC
This 478-nucleotide ribosomal RNA is filed under the name uncultured bacterium. RNAcentral describes it as "bacterial SSU rRNA". It matches the Rfam family "Bacterial small subunit ribosomal RNA", at positions 28 to 504 of the family's 1533-position model. The record is from RNAcentral.